Molecule: ribosomal RNA, 445 nt
Filed under: uncultured bacterium
Lineage: Bacteria
Description: partial 16S ribosomal RNA
Rfam family: Bacterial small subunit ribosomal RNA
Source: RNAcentral
GUGAGGAAUAUUGGUCAAUGGGCGAGAGCCUGAACCAGCCAAGUCGCGUGAAGGAAGAAGGAUCUAUGGUUCGUAAACUUCUUUUGCAGGGGAAUAAAGUGCGGGACGUGUCCUGUUUUGUAUGUACCCUGAGAAUAAGGAUCGGCUAACUCCGUGCCAGCAGCCGCGGUGAUACGGAGGAUCCGAGCGUUAUCCGGAUUUAUUGGGUUUAAAGGGUGCGUAGGUGGUUUGAUAAGUCAGCGGUGAAAGUUUGCAGCUUAACUGUAAAAAUGCCGUUGAAACUGUCGGACUUGAGUGUAAAUGAGGUAGGCGGAAUGCGUGGUGUAGCGGUGAAAUGCAUAGAUAUCACGCAGAACUCCGAUUGCGAAGGCAGCUUACUAAGCUACAACUGACACUGAAGCACGAAAGCGUGGGGAUCAAACAGGAUUAGAUACCCGGGUAGUCC